Molecule: ribosomal RNA, 1486 nt
Filed under: metagenome
Description: bacterial SSU rRNA
Rfam family: Bacterial small subunit ribosomal RNA
Source: RNAcentral
AGAGUUUGAUCCUGGCUCAGGAUGAACGCUAGCUGCAGGCUUAACACAUGCAAGUCGAGGGGCAGCAUGGUCUUAGCUUGCUAAGGCCGAUGGCGACCGGCGCACGGGUGAGUAACACGUAUCCAACCUGCCGUCUACUCUUGGACAGCCUUCUGAAAGGAAGAUUAAUACAAGAUGGCAUCAUGAGUCCGCAUGUUCACAUGAUUAAAGGUAUUCCGGUAGACGAUGGGGAUGCGUUCCAUUAGAUAGUAGGCGGGGUAACGGCCCACCUAGUCUUCGAUGGAUAGGGGUUCUGAGAGGAAGGUCCCCCACAUUGGAACUGAGACACGGUCCAAACUCCUACGGGAGGCAGCAGUGAGGAAUAUUGGUCAAUGGGCGAGAGCCUGAACCAGCCAAGUAGCGUGAAGGAUGACUGCCCUAUGGGUUGUAAACUUCUUUUAUAAAGGAAUAAAGUCGGGUAUGCAUACCCGUUUGCAUGUACUUUAUGAAUAAGGAUCGGCUAACUCCGUGCCAGCAGCCGCGGUAAUACGGAGGAUCCGAGCGUUAUCCGGAUUCAUUGGGUUUAAAGGGAGCGUAGAUGGAUGUUUAAGUCAGUUGUGAAAGUUUGCGGCUCAACCGUAAAAUUGCAGUUGAUACUGGAUAUCUUGAGUGCAGUUGAGGCAGGCGGAAUUCGUGGUGUAGCGGUGAAAUGCUUAGAUAUCACGAAGAACUCCGAUUGCGAAGGCAGCCUGCUAAGCUACAACUGACAUUGAGGCUCGAAAGUGUGGGUAUCAAACAGGAUUAGAUACCCUGGUAGUCCACACGGUAAACGAUGAAUACUCGCUGUUUGCGAUAUACAGCAAGCGGCCAAGCGAAAGCGUUAAGUAUUCCACCUGGGGAGUACGCCGGCAACGGUGAAACUCAAAGGAAUUGACGGGGGCCCGCACAAGCGGAGGAACAUGUGGUUUAAUUCGAUGAUACGCGAGGAACCUUACCCGGGCUUAAAUUGCAGAUGAAUUACGGUGAAAGCCGUAAGCCGCAAGGCAUCUGUGAAGGUGCUGCAUGGUUGUCGUCAGCUCGUGCCGUGAGGUGUCGGCUUAAGUGCCAUAACGAGCGCAACCCUUGUUGUCAGUUACUAACAGGUCAUGCUGAGGACUCUGACAAGACUGCCAUCGUAAGAUGUGAGGAAGGUGGGGAUGACGUCAAAUCAGCACGGCCCUUACGUCCGGGGCUACACACGUGUUACAAUGGGGGGUACAGAGGGCCGCUACCACGCGAGUGGAUGCCAAUCCCAAAAACCUCUCUCAGUUCGGACUGGAGUCUGCAACCCGACUCCACGAAGCUGGAUUCGCUAGUAAUCGCGCAUCAGCCACGGCGCGGUGAAUACGUUCCCGGGCCUUGUACACACCGCCCGUCAAGCCAUGGGAGCCGGGGGUACCUGAAGUGCGUAACCGCGAGGAGCGCCCUAGGGUAAAACUGGUGACUGGGGCUAAGUCGUAACAAGGUA